RNAcentral lists this ribosomal RNA (253 nucleotides) under uncultured bacterium. RNAcentral describes it as "partial 16S ribosomal RNA". It matches the Rfam family "Bacterial small subunit ribosomal RNA", at positions 524 to 776 of the family's 1533-position model. The record is from RNAcentral.
UACGUAGGGUGCAAGCGUUAAUCGGAAUUACUGGGCGUAAAGCGUGCGCAGGCGGCUUAGCAAGACAGAUGUGAAAUCCCCGGGCUUAACCUGGGAACUGCAUUUGUGACUGCAUGGCUAGAGUGCGGCAGAGGGGGAUGGAAUUCCGCGUGUAGCAGUGAAAUGCGUAGAUAUGCGGAGGAACACCGAUGGCGAAGGCAAUCCCCUGGGCCUGCACUGACGCUCAUGCACGAAAGCGUGGGGAGCAAACAGG